CCUACGGGUGGCAGCAGUGGGGAAUAUUGGUCAAUGGGGGCAACUCUGAACCAGCCAUGCCGCGUGCAGGAAGACGGCUCUAUGAGUUGAAAACUGCUUUUGUACGGGGGAAAACGCAGAUACGCGUAUCUGACUGACAGUAUCGUACGAAUAAGGAUCGGCUAACUCAGUGCCAGCAGCCGCGGUAAUACGGAGGAUUCCAGCGUUAUCCGGAUUUAUUGGGUUUAAAGGGUGCGUAGGCGGUCGGAUAAGUUAGCGGUGAAAUCCCGAGGCUCAACUUCGGAAUUGCCUCUGAUACUGUGCGGCGAGAGAGUAGUAGCGGUAAGCGGAAUGUAUGGUGUAGCGGUGAAAUGCGUAGAGAU
RNAcentral lists this ribosomal RNA (362 nucleotides) under uncultured bacterium. Its description in RNAcentral is "partial 16S ribosomal RNA". It matches the Rfam family "Bacterial small subunit ribosomal RNA", at positions 338 to 697 of the family's 1533-position model. The record is from RNAcentral.